UUCUAGCUGGCUCAGUCAUUGGAGCAUGCGACUUUUGAUCUCAGGGUCGUGAGUUCAAGCCUCAUGUUGGGCA
RNAcentral lists this transfer RNA (73 nucleotides) under Canis lupus familiaris (dog). It matches the Rfam family "tRNA". From Rfam's summary of the family: Transfer RNA (tRNA) molecules are approximately 80 nucleotides in length. Their secondary structure includes four short double-helical elements and three loops (D, anti-codon, and T loops). RNAcentral also lists the same sequence under 1 other name. Lineage: Eukaryota; Metazoa; Chordata; Mammalia; Carnivora; Canidae. The record is from Rfam by way of RNAcentral.